AAAUAAAAACAUGGCUUCAUUUUCAUUUCUUCAUAUUUCAAGAACAUUACCUUGUUUGAACUUUCCAAACUUUUCUUCCAAUAUCCUAAUACAUGCUCCCAAAAAGGUCCAAAAGGAGACACUCCUCGACAAAAACACUCAAAAGCCUCUUCUAAUGGAAGUGUGCCAUUCCUUUUUGAUCUAACAUUGCUUAUGAAAUGCCAAAAUGAAACAAAAACAUCUUUAGGAUCUCUACAUAGAUACAACACUUUGCAAGUUGAGUCUUUCACAGAUUUUGGUAAUGAUUCAUAAGAUAGAUGAGUGGAGAAUAUUCUUGGAGGAGAUAUUGUUUUGAGAUCAGGAACAAAAUCUUUGUUGAAAUAAAGGUCUAACUCCCAAAAGGGAACAAGUUCGUGUGGAUUUUUUGUGAGCAAUGGAUGAUUGCUAUGAAUAUUUGGAUAUUUGUUGCGGUUUAUCAAAUCAAAAGACAAUGCUUUGAGCCAAGUGGUACCUGAUUUAGGAGAAGUGACUAAGAGAAUAUCAGUAUCAAGGGCUUGAAAGUGCUUUUGACAAGAUAUAACAGCUUGAAGAAACUCUGGAGCAAACCAAAAUCCUUGAUAUUGAUGUAAAUGGAUUCCAUUCCAACAUUUUUCCGAUGGCAAUGUGGUUAACAAUUCCUCACAUUCUUCGCCUAAGUCAUAUUCUUGCAUGUAUUUUGGUACAAGAGUUUUUUCACUUAAUUUUUCCAUGGUGAAUAGUAUAACUCAGGUGAUAAUAUUGUGGGUUGAAAUCAAGAUACAAUUGUUUAUAUAUAUAUAUAUAUAUAUAUAUAUAUAUAUAUAUAUAUAUAUAUAGAGAGAGAGAGAGAGAGAGAGUUUAUAAUUUUAUUUUAUAAAAAAAUUAUUUAAUUAAUUUUUAUUUAUUUAAUAUAAAAUAUAUUUUAUUUGUGUUGUAAGAUUUGUUGNCUUCUUGAGAAAAUGGACACUCCAAAAACUUAGCAAUUUCUUUCAAAUAAAAAUAUGGCUUCAUUUUCAUUUCUUCAUAUUUCAAGAACAUUACCUUGUUUGAACUUUCCAAGCUUUUCUUCCAAUAUCCUAAUACAUGCUCCCAAAAAGGUCCAAAAGGACACACUCCUCGACAAAAACACUCAAAAGCCUCUUCUAAUGGAAGUGUUCCAUUCCUUUUUGAUCUAACAUUGCUUAUGAAAUGCCAAAAUGAAACAAAAACAUCUUUAGGAUCUCUACAUAGAUACAAAACUUUGCAAGUUGAGUCUUUCACAGAUUUUGGUAAUGAUUCAUAAGAUAGAUGAGUGGAGAAUAUUCUUGGAGAAGAUAUUGUUUUGAGAUCAGGAACAAAAUCUUUGUUGCAGUAAAGGUCUACCUCCCAAAAGGGAACAAGUUCGUGUGGAUUUUUUGUGAGCAAAGGAUGAUUGCUAUGAAUAUUUGGAUAUUUGUUGCGGUUUAUCAAAGCAAAAGACAAUGCUUUGAGCCAAGUGGUACCUGCUUUAGGAGAAGUGACUAAGAGAAUAUCAGUAUCAAAGGCUUGAAAGUGCUUUUGACAAGAUAUAACAGCUUGAAGAAACUCUGGAGCAAACCAAAAUCCUUGAUAUUGAUGUAAAUGGAUUCCAUUCCAACAUUUUUCCGAUGGCAAUGUGGUUAACAAUUCCUCACAUUCUUCGUCUAAGUCAUAUUCUUGCAUGUAUUUUGGUACAAGAGUUUUUUCACUUAAUUUUUCCAUGGUGAAUAGUAUAACUCAGGUGAUAAUAUUGUGGGUUGAAAUCAAGAUACAAUUGUUUAUAUAUAUAUAUAUAUAUAUAUAUAUAUAUAUAUAUAUAUAUAUAUAUAUAGAGAGAGAGAGAGAGAGAGAGUUUAAAAUGGUAUUUUAUAAAAAAAUUAUUUAAUUAAUUUUUAUUUAUUGCAUAUAAAAAGAUCAUCUUUUGUGUUGUAAGAUUUGUUGUAUUGUAAUUUUUGUAUGCUGGUGAAGGUAAACAAUAAAAAAGGUAUAUAAAGGGGAAAAUAUAAUUUGUUUGAGAAAGUUUGUUUCUCCUCCCACCGUGAAUUUGCACAAGGGAGGAUAAAAAACUAAAAAAAAUAAAUGAAAAAAGAAAGAUUAAAAUAAACUUUUUUUAACAAUUAUAUUUUAAUAAAAAAUAUAUAUAGAACUUUUGCAUGCUAAUUAUUGGUCAUAAUACUAAGAAGACUCAAACUUAAAUAAGUAUAUGAAAAUGUCCUGUAGAGAACUUGAAUUCUGCCAAGAAUAUCCUUGACAUGAGAAUUAUUCAUUAAAAUAAAAAUGAUAAAUCUUUCAAUUUUUUCAAUUUAAAUUCUUAAAUAAUCAAUAUUUUAAAUUAUUUAUCAAAAUAAUCAUGUUUUAAAUUAAAAAUAAUUAUAUCAAAGAGAAUGUGUCAUUGAUAAUGGCGCACGCACUAAAAAAAUACAUUUAGGCGUCGUAGCCCCUAACACAUGUACUACCAAUGUCUCAAUAAGACUGACACAUGCACUAUUGACUUAAGGAGAGGUGUCCCACUCCUCCAAGACAUCUACAUGCAUAUCCUCGAUGUAGUCAGUACACACGAAUCAUUAGUUAGGGCGUUGCAAAAAUGAAAUAAAAAUGACACAUAAAUAUUAAAAAACCAAUAAACAUUACUGUCAAUAGUGUGAUGUUGUCUAUGACCUGCUUCGUCUUCCACCUAUGACCCUCUAAUAACUUCGAUUACAAGUAAACCAAACAAGUGGCCCCCUAAUUGUACUCAUGGAUCCGCUCGAAGUACCGUAGGUAGACAACAUCUGUAUAAGGGACACUCUUUUCCAAAAAAAAAAGUUAUGCCAACCAAAUAUAACAGGUAUGCUCUCAUAGCGUACGCUCUAUGGAGCCCUACCUGAUUGUCAUCACAUCUAGCCUCCUCAACUCUAAGGAUCUCAAUAUAUAUGGUGUUCCCGUCUAAGGGUGAUGUCGCCUGGGCGGAAUCCCCACAGAACUAGAGGGCUCACCCUAUAGAUUGAUGACAUGUAUAGAUACCGUUAUCUCCAAGAGGGGAAUGAGUUCCCCACAAUUCCCUGAAGAAUAAGUAGUCUACAAUUCUCCCUAGUUGUAAGGGAGCGGUUCCCCAGGUGAGCAGGUACUCUAAAUCAUCACAAAACACCAUCGUACAUGAUUUCUCGUCUCCGUGGGUAAGUCUUAACCAUUAUACAACUUAAUAUAUCUACAAAGACCUCUGAGUUCUCAUGUCCUUUCAGAAGAAACAUGCACACACAUACAAAAAAAAUUAAUUCAUUUUAAAUUCCUUUAAAUAAUUAUUUUCUCUAAUUAAAAUGUUUCAUUAAAAUAAACUCUUACUUUAUAUUAAAUUUUCUCUUCUGUUUUGACUUGUGUAUUAUGACGAUAUUUUUGAUGUCGUUGGUGCCCCAAAGGGCAAAUAAUGGUUCUGCGAACAUGUACAAUACUAGAGAAAUAAAUGAGUGGGCAAUAACAUGUUUGUUUUUAAUGAAUAAGUAAGUGGCAAUAACAUGUUUUUUUUAAUGAAUAAGUAAGUGGCCAUAGCAUGUUUGGGAUCAGACAACAACUGCCUUUUAUAGUACAUGUUUGGGACUUUCUGAUAAUCGGUAAUAACUAGCAUGUGCCAUUAGGGCCCACAUUACUAGACCAAUAUAAUUGUUUACAGGACAAUAAUUGGUAAUCAAUUUUUUUUUUCACUUUUGAAGAAGUUGUUACUUUUACCUACACUAGCAGGUAAUUAGUUCAUUAUAAAAUAAAAAUAUUAUUAAAUAUAAUUUAUUCAGUUUUUCUUUUUAAUAACAAAUCCAGAAAAUUUUCAAAUGUUUUUUCUCUUCUUCAUACAUUCAACGUCCAAAAUCUAAAAAUCUUGUAUCCUAAUAUACUUAAUAUUUUUCUUUGUUAACUCUCAAUCUCAUAAAUCAGAAUUAUCACCAUGCUUUCAAUUUCACAUGGAUGUCUUGUGUUUUCAAAAAUAAGUUUCAUAAAUCUUGAUAAACAAAUAUAGGAUAGGAUGAUGUUGCAAAUAUAAUUAUUUUUUUCCUCUUCAUCCAAUUUUUACAAAUCAUAUAAAAAAAUAGUUUACUUUUGAGAAAUACUCAUACCUUAAAUUUUGAAAUUUGAUAUAUAAAUCUAAAUUUUUAGAUCUGAGUUUUUAAAAAUCUCAUAUGCACAAAGAUCCAACAGACAUGCAUGCAUUUUGUAAUUUCAGAUCUAUAAAUUAAUUUGUUUUUAAUUUUAGAUAUGUAAAACUGUUAACAUUUGAUAAGGUUUUUUUAAUUUCAAAUCUGUAAUAUUUAGAAAGAUGAUAAUUUUUUCAAUGAAUUUAGGGUUGAAAUUCAUAUGUGUUUUCAAUUUCAGAUAUGUUACGAAAAAUAUAGAUGAAAUUUUCGUGGCCGAAAUAAUUCAUUUUUAAUGAAUUUAGAGAUUAUUUUCAUAUUCGAAACAUAUAUAUAUAUAUAUAUAUAAAUGAAAAGAUGAUUGGAAUCAGUGGAUUCACCACCACCUUGUGCCUUAUGCGAUAAUAUCACACUGUCUCAUAAGAGAAAGUUGUUUUCUUGGAGAUUGAUUGAAAGCUUCGAUGCAAACAUGUUACUCGAGAUGGAGUGCACCAUUGUUGAUGCAGAAACACGUGAAGAUCUUACCACAUAUUAUGUAUCUUCCAUGUUUCUCUCUUGAAUCGCCAUGAAAGCUUAUCUAAAGCUUAGAUUGAGGAACGAAUAUGCACAGAUUGAACAACUUCUCUAAAACUUGAAAUUGAUACCCGAUACACCACACCCACGAGUGCACUGUAGCACGCUGAUGCAGAAGUGUGGAUCAAGGAAGAAGAUGAUUGAAUAGUGCGGAAGAACGAUCCGUUAGGCGACUUAUAUUAUAUUAAAGAUUGAAAUCAUCUUGAAUUUUCCAUUGAACUUUGUUCAUCAUUCUUGUUUUUUAAUAAAGCUUGCAUGAAGUAUAUAUAUCGUCCAUGCAAGUGUUGAGGUUGUUACACUUUAGAAGUUAGUUAGAGUUCAUAAAUAACUCUCAAACUUUUCUCACUCAUACUUAGGGCUGGACAAACACCCGCAACCCAACCCAACCCGCAAAAACCGAAAAAAAAGAAGGAAUUGGGCGGGUUCAAACGGCCCAACGGGUUCACCGGGUGAUGAAACCGGGUUCAAUCGGAUUUAAAUGGACGGGCCCGGGUAGUAAAGACUGGACCGCGAGUACCCUGACCCGCCCAAAUGACACACAACCACAAAAUUUUAAUGUGCAUGAGUAGUACAUUAAACUAUGUCGUUUUGUACUACUCCCUCAACCCUCCUCUCUCAUUCACUCUCGCUGACGCUCAGUAUUUCUCUCACGGUGACGACGAGAAACCCUAGCAGCUCCUCUCCACUCACCGCUCAUCGUCACUCAUCGCCACCACAACUCCACCCAAAAGAACAUCGCCCCACCACCAUUAACUCCACCUCGACGAACACCACCACCACCACUCUCAUCUCUUUUUUUCACUGACUUUCACGACGAGCAACAACAUUUGAACUUGUGGUCUGAUCUUCUUUCUUCUAUUGUUUGACUUUCGUUGCAAGGUUUGUGAAUUUUAUUCAAUUUCAGAGUUUUUUACUUUUAGGUUUUUCUAUUUAGGUUUUUUCUACUAUUGUUCUACUUUCAAAUUUCAAAUAAUUUAAACUAUUGUUUUGUGACACUGAUGUGUUUAUUUGGGUAUAUGGAGCAUGGAAACAGUAGCAGUCAAAGAACUCAAAGAACCAUAGAGCAAGAUCCACUAAAUAAGAUUAUUCAACUUGUUUUAUAUGUGUUGAAAUUUAUAAGUUUCCUAAAACCAUGUACUUAUCUCAUUGAUGGCAACAAUAUGUAUUACCUAAUGAUGUUAUUGAUGUUAUUGAUAUUUGAUUUGGAUAGAUGGAUCAACGGUCAAAAGAGCACGGAAAGAGUCUUAGAGCAAGAACAAUGCAAUUGUAAGUGUAUUUGAGCUUCGUGCUUUGAAAUGUAUGCUAAUUGGGACUAUGGUUGUAUGCAUAUGAAUGUGGGCUGAAUUUGAUAGUUUUUAACUAGAUUUCAAAUUUAUUUAAAACCAAUUAGUUGAUGCGUUAGUGUAUGAGAUUGUUUGAAAUGUAUGUUAAUUGGGUUUGUUUGUAUGUGUUGUAUGCAUAUGAAUUGGGACUGUUUUAAACUGAUUCUCAAAGUGUAGAUGAACAAGCCAGUAGAUUGGAUGAAGUUGUACGCAUAUGAAUUGCCACACUUGUCAUUUUCACCACUGGUAGUGACAUAUUGAAUUGCAUUAAAAAUUGAGUUUUCAUAUCAUGUAAUCUGUAGCAUUCAUCACAUUAAUGCCCCGAAGUUGCUGCCAGACAUUGUAACAAAUUGACUAAAUGAAAAUUGAGAAGAAAUAAACUCACCAAUACAAUUAUGCGAUGGUUAGCUUAUUUAGUGUUAUUUUUGUUUCUCUUCAUUUUCUUUUUGUUUCUAGGGUGUCUUGUUAUAUGAUCCUUUCUAAUUAUGAACCGCUAUUUGCCAGCACUAUAACAUUGCUAUAACUGCUAUUUGUCAGCACCGUGGUAAACCAAUGAUCGGUACAUUGCUAUAACUGAUAUUUGCCAGCACUAUAACAUUGCUAUAACUGCUAUAACAUUUUAAAAUAACUGCUAUAACUGCUAUAACAUUGCUAUAACUGUUAUUUGCCAGCACUGGGGCUGGAACUGCUAUUUGCCAGCACUGUGCUAUAACUUAUAUAUCUUGCCAGCACUGUGCUAUAACUUAUAUAUCUUGCCAGAUCUUGGUAUGAUCUGUUCUGUUAAAAAAUUACUAACUUUUAUGCAUCUUGCCAGCACUGCUAUGUAUAAUGUGCUAUAACUUAUAUAUCUUGCCAGAUCUUGGUAUGAUCUGUUAUGUUAAAAAAUUACUAACUUUUAUGCAUCUUGCCAACACUGCUAUGUAUACUGUGCUAUAACUUAUAUAUCUUGCCAGAUCUUGGUAUGAUCUGUUCUGUUAAAAAAUUACUAACUUUUAUGCAUCUUGCCAGCACUGCUAUGUAUACAUUGUCAUCGUUCAAUGAAUGGAUUUUAUAAACUUUAUUCAUAACCUUGUCCAGCCCUAGCCAACACUGUGUUAUAACUGCUAUUUACCAGCACUGUGCUAUAACUGCUAUUGCUAUAACAUUGCUAUAACUGCUAUUUUCCAGCACUGUGCUAUUACUGAUAUUUGCCAACACUACUAUUAUUAUCUCUGUUUUAUGAAUUGGAACCGUUAUUUGUUGAUUGGUAGUUCUUGAUUGGCUCCUUCGUUAUUUCAGUGACUGGUGAGCCUAAUCAAAAUCUACCAUAAUUACUUCAUCCAAGUCGAUACGUUGCUAUAAAGAAGAGGAAAUCUAGUGCAAGUGGUUCUAGGCAAACAUCUGCUUGCUGGGAACAUUUUAUUAGAUUACCCGAUGACCUAGUUGAUGCACCCAUUGCAGCCUGCAAACACUGCCAUAAAAAAACACUUGUGUGACCCUAGGACUCACGGCACCACUAAUUUGAACCACCAUAUUUUAAAAUGUUCUAAGAAGCCCUUUGCCGUGUCAAUUGACUCCACACAAACUAUUCUAACAUAGCCAAGUGUAGAUGGUAAAUUGGUUCAAGUUAGCUCUAGAUUUGACAAGAAAGCUUGUAGAAGUGCUUUGUCAGUUUUUGUAGUUCUAGAUGAGCAACCAUUUAGUGCAGUAGAGGGUGAAGGGUUUAAAUUUUAUUCCAAAGUAAUGCAGCCCCAAUUUACCAUUCCAUCUAGGUGUACGAUAGCUAGGGACUAUUUUCAGCUAUACUUGGAUGAAAAACAAAAGUUAAAGGCCUUUUUUAAGUCUGAUUGCAAUAGGGUAGCACUUACUACUGAUUGCUGGACUUCUAUACAAAAUCUCAACUACUUGACCUUUACGGAACACUUUGUGGAUAAUGAAUGGAAGUAUCAAAAAAGAAUUAUAAGCUUUACCAUAAUUCCAAACCACAAAGGUGAAACUGUAGGUAGGAAGAUUGAAGAAGUGUUAAGGGAUUGGGGAAUUAGGAAUGUGUCAACCAUAACUGUUGAUAAUGCCACUUCAAAUGAUGUUGCUGUGACCAUAAUAAACGAAGAAAAAUAACAAAUAUGAAUGGGUUAAUGGGGAUGGAGAGUGUUUCAAUAUGAGGUGUUCAGCUCACAUUUGAACUUGUGUAAAUGAGGUUUGAAGAUAAACAUUUAUCUGUAACUAGUGUUAGAGAUUUGUUAGAUUUGUUAAGUCUCACCUCAUAGGGAGCCAGUUUAAAGAAUGCAUUGAAUUUGCUGGAAUAACUUGCAAAAAUUAGUAUGUCUUGAUGUUUCAACUCGUUGGAACGCGACAUAUUUAAUGCUAGAGGUUGCGGAGAAGUUUCAACUCGCUUUUGAAAAGCUGGGAUGAAGAGUCGAGCUAUAGGGAGUUCUUUGGAAAAGUAAUCCCCUAGUAAUGAUGAUUGGACAUUGCUAGGGCUUAUACGCUUUCUAAAGUAUUCUAUGAAGCAACUAAGACUUUUUCACUCUCGUGAGUUUGUAUACUUGUUUCUCAACAAGUGUCUGCCAUUAUUGUGAGUAAAGCAAUACUUGAACUUAAAUGAUAUUUGGCAAGUGUGGGUGGAGAUAUGAUGGGAAAAAUAUAAUAGAUAUUGGGGAGUCCUGAUAAGAUGAACAAGAUGAUAUAUUUUGGUAUUAUUCUUGAUCCAAGAUACAAGUUAAGUUACAUUGAGUGGCGUUUAAGGACAUGUAUGGAGUUGGAUCAAGUUGGUAGUGACUGGUAAUAAUCUAUAAAAGAGAAUUUACAAAGUUGUAUGAUUGGUAUAAAGCAAGCUUAUGACAAGAAUAUAAUUCCAUACAGCCUCUUGUAGUGGUGGAAAUAAUGUCUCCAAUGAUGAACAAAUGCAUCUGCUGCCGUUCAUCACUUAUGGCUAGAGCUGAUGCUUUUGAGCAACAUUAGAGAGCAAGACCGAUUGAUCAACAAAUGAGCUUGAGGUGUAUAAUCUAGUAAGGUGUCAAAGGGAUACUUUGACAUCCUUGUGUGGUGGAAACGUAAUUCAAUCGAUAUCCUAUUUUAUCUACAAUGGCUAAAGAUAUUUAGCCACACAGUGUCUACGUUGCUUCUGAAGUGCUUUUAGCACAGGAGGGAAGUCAUAGAAACUACUAGAGUUCUCUAACUGCUGAAAUGACGAGACUUUAAUUUGCACCCAGAAUUGGUUAAGGCUUCUUUUACCUAUUUCAAAGAUAUGAAUCUCAUGGAAGAUUUUGAGCUUUCAGAAAUAUUGUAACAAGUAAAUUUAUACUGAAUUUCUAAUAAAUAUGAUGAAUGUUGUAUAAUUAUGCUUAUAAAAAGUUUAUUUAAUUAUUUAGAGUUUCAACAAAUGUCUUAGCAGCAAACGAGUAUCAGGUGUCUAUCAUCACAGUCUCAGCCACAACCUUCUGGUUGUGCUUGAAAUGGAUGUAUGUAUAUCAUUAUUUAUCUUAUACUUUAUUAUAUUUUUGUUAACUAAUGUUUAUGUUGUCCAAUUUUCCAGGUCAACUAUUUUUUUGAUUUUUGGAGUCAUGCAUGAUCUAUUAUAUAUAUAUUACUAUAUUAUAUAUAUAUAUAUAUAUAUAUAUAUAUAUAUAUAUAUAUAUAUAUAUAUAUAUAUAUAUAUAUAUAUAUAUAAUAUAUAUAUAUAUAAUAUAUAUAUAUAUAUAUAAUAUAUAUAUAUUAUAUAUAAAUAUAUAUAAUAUAUAUAUAUAUAUAUAUAUAUAUAUAUAUAUAUAAAAUAUAUAUUAUAUAUAUAUUAUUAUCAUAUCACUACUCAAUGGCCGAAUGAAGAAAAUAGCUAGGCUACUCUUGGAUUUUUUGGAGUCAUGCAUGACCUAUAUAUAUGAGCCUGUGAAAGUUACCAAUGCCUAUUGGUUGGUUGCCAUGGAGCCUGUGAAAGUUUCUACAAGUUUUAUUUUGCUUUUUAUUUAGGUCUCAUGAGUAUUUCACUGUCGUCUUGUUUUCAAACUGAUUAAGUCUCGUUAGUCUCGUUGUAUCUUUAUCUAAUCUAUUGAAUUGAGCAAGACAUGGAUUUCACUGUGGUGAUUAAUCGAUGUAGUAUUUCUGUGUUUGAUUAAAGUCUUAUGACAUUGAGCUUUUUUCGUUUUAGAUAAUGUGAUGCUGUUUACGGCGUUUGUUUAUCGACUUUGAUGUUCUUAGUUUAACAUUUUUGUGUGUGUUCGUUUUGACCGUGCAGAGGAGUGCUGCUGAUUCAAUUUUACGGAUUUGCAAGAGAAUCCUGAUAGUGGCUUCAAGUUAUGCAUAUCUUGCAGAAUACUCAAAUCUCACACUACAGUUCUUUGCAUUGCAGGUUGGUUGUUAAUGAAUUCCUCUGGAGUUAAUGUUAGGAGGGGUGGAUCGCAAUUUUUCAAAAUAAAAUAUGGAUUUUGAUUUAUGAUUUCCUGCAUUGUUAUGAUUCCUGCACUGUUAUGAAUCAGCUUUUGGAGAAGUUGUUUCUUUUACUUACACUAGCAUGUAAUUAGUUCAUGAUAAAUAAAAUAUUAUUAAUAUAAUUUAUUAGUUUUCUAUUUUUAAUAACAAAUCCAGGAACAUUUUUCAAGUGUUUUUUCUCUUCUUCAUACAUUUAACAUCCAAAACCCAAAAAUCUUGUAUCCAUGUUAUAUUUAUUAUUUUUCUUUGUUAAUUUUCAAUUUCAUAAAUCAAAAUUAUCCCCAUCCUUUCAAUUUCACAUGGAUGUCUUGUGUUUUCAAAAAUAAGUUUCAUAAAUUUUGAUAGACAAACAUAUGAUCUUGCAAAUACACAUUAUUUUUUUCCUCUUCAUCCAACUUUUACAAAAUCAGAUAAAAAAUAGUUUAUUUUUGAGAAAUACUCAUACCUUAAAUUUUGAAAUUUGAUAUUUAUAAAUCUAAACUUUUAAAUCUGAGUUUUUAAAAAUCUCAUAUGCAUAAAAAUCCAACACACGUGCAGGCAUUUUGUAACUUUCAGAUUAGAGAAUAACAUUGAAAUUUGAGUUUUUUAAAUAUGAUUUAAUAAUUUAAUAAGAGAUAUAAGUUUGGAAUCUAGAUUUAAUAAUUUCCUUUGUUAUUCAAUGUAAUUUAGACGAAGAAGAUGAAAAGGGCGAACUUUUUAAAGAUGAAUAUUUGAAAAUGAAGAAGAUGAAAAAGAUGAAUGUUUGAAGAUGAAUAAGAUGAUUUCGAAAUGAACAUCAAUUAAAAAUAUAUUAUUUAAUUAAAAAACAUUAAAUAAUUAAUAUUUAAAAUUGAAUAAAAAAUUAUUAAUAUAUUACCAAUCAUUCAUCACAACAGACUAAAUUAAAUAAUAAUAUAUCAAUUACUAAAAAAAUGCAACUUCUCCGUAAUUGCCAAAAAUUGCAGGGCACAAGUUAAAUGCCAUCAUCUAUAAUCUAUUCAUAGUAUGACUUUUAAUAUCAUACUAUUACUUUUCAUAUGUCAUGUUAGUGCGAGUAAUAUCAUAUUACUCUAUCUCUGUCAAAUUAUUUUGUCAAAAAAAAUUAUCCUAAUUAUAAAUUCCUUUAGAUUUUCAAUCUAAUAUUAAUGACAUUUUAUCUAAUAUACUCUUAAAAUAUUUAUUAUUAUUUAUUUUUUCAAUUCUUUUAAUUUUUCUCUCCUCUCUAAUUCCGAGGGACAAUACUGUAAAGUUCUACAUGACUUGAUUUUUUAAUAAAAUAAUAAUUAAAUUUCUUAAUUCGUAUGAAAUGUCUAAAAGAUAGACUAAGUUUCUAAAGUGUAGAGUUUGUUACACUUUAGAAAUUUGUUAGAGUUUUUAACUAAUUCUCCAUCUUUUCUCACUCAUACAUAUUUAUACACUAAGCUAUGUAAUAGUACUCCAUUAACUUUUAAAAAAAAUCAAAUUAAAAAAUAUAUAGAUAAAACUGCAUUAAAUGCAUAAUAAAAAAUUAUAUUUAAUAAUAUUAAGUAAUUAUAAAAUUCAAAGAUUUCAUAAAAAUAAGAGAUUGAUUUUAUAAGCUAAAUUUUAUUGAUGGAUAGCAAUGUAGCACAAGAUCUCUUCUGCAAAUCAUUCCCUAAAUUAACACACAAUUAAACAGUUAUAAAGAAAAACUAUUAUGAAAACAAAGUAACACAACACAUGAAGAAAAAUCAAUUAGCAUCAACAAAACAAUCCUUGUAACAGACAAAACAAACAUACCAUAUAUAAAAAUUGAAACAAAUUUAUUCUUACACUUCUGAAGCAAUAUGACAAGAAGUUUAUGUGAUUAUGCAUAAAUUUAUCCGCAUAUGUCCGCAUAUGUCUGUCAGGGCAAAAUUAUGCAUAAUUUCUUAAAUUCUAAAAACUCAAUCCAUGGUUAGCCAACUUCUGUUUUGUGAUGGAGUUUAUAUGCUCAAUCAUUUCGGUUGUAAGAUGAUUCUUCCAAUCUCCAAUUUGACCAAGACGGAAAAAAUAUUUGUUUUCAACGUUAAAAGACACUUUUUCAGUCUUGUUAACUUCCAAGUUACUCAACUUAUCAAAACUACACAAAUUUAAAAUACCAUCAACCACACCUUUGGAUUCUUCUUCUUGAGAAAAUGGACACUCCAAAAACUUAGCAAUUUCUUUCAAAUAAAAAUAUGGCUUCAUUUUCAUUUCUUCAUAUUUCAAGAACAUUACCUUGUUUGAACUUUCCAAGCUUUUCUUCCAAUAUCCUAAUACAUGCUCCCAAAAAGGUCCAAAAGGACACACUCCUCGACAAAAACACUCAAAAGCCUCUUCUAAUGGAAGUGUUCCAUUCCUUUUUGAUCUAACAUUGCUUAUGAAAUGCCAAAAUGAAACAAAAACAUCUUUAGGAUCUCUACAUAGAUACAAAACUUUGCAAGUUGAGUCUUUCACAGAUUUUGGUAAUGAUUCAUAAGAUAGAUGAGUGGAGAAUAUUCUUGGAGAAGAUAUUGUUUUGAGAUCAGGAACAAAAUCUUUGUUGCAGUAAAGGUCUACCUCCCAAAAGGGAACAAGUUCGUGUGGAUUUUUUGUGAGCAAAGGAUGAUUGCUAUGAAUAUUUGGAUAUUUGUUGCGGUUUAUCAAAGCAAAAGACAAUGCUUUGAGCCAAGUGGUACCUGCUUUAGGAGAAGUGACUAAGAGAAUAUCAGUAUCAAAGGCUUGAAAGUGCUUUUGACAAGAUAUAACAGCUUGAAGAAACUCUGGAGCAAACCAAAAUCCUUGAUAUUGAUGUAAAUGGAUUCCAUUCCAACAUUUUUCCGAUGGCAAUGUGGUUAACAAUUCCUCACAUUCUUCGUCUAAGUCAUAUUCUUGCAUGUAUUUUGGUACAAGAGUUUUUUCACUUAAUUUUUCCAUGGUGAAUAGUAUAACUCAGGUGAUAAUAUUGUGGGUUGAAAUCAAGAUACAAUUG
RNAcentral lists this long non-coding RNA (13319 nucleotides) under Lathyrus oleraceus (garden pea). RNAcentral describes it as "Pisum sativum (pea) long non-coding RNA (PSAT_LNC037129)". The record is from RNAcentral. Lineage: Eukaryota; Viridiplantae; Streptophyta; Magnoliopsida; Fabales; Fabaceae.